Molecule: ribosomal RNA, 495 nt
Filed under: uncultured bacterium
Lineage: Bacteria
Description: partial 16S ribosomal RNA
Rfam family: Bacterial small subunit ribosomal RNA
Source: RNAcentral
GACGAACGCUGGCGGCGUGCCUAAUACAUGCAAGUAGAACGCUGAAGGAGGGGCUUGCUUCUCUGGAUGAGUUGCGAACGGGUGAGUAACGCGUAGGUAACCUGCCUGGUAGCGGGGGAUAACUAUUGGAAACGAUAGCUAAUACCGCAUAAUAGCAGUUGUUGCAUGACAACUGUUUGAAAGGUGCAAUUGCACCACUACCAGAUGGACCUGCGUUGUAUUAGCUAGUUGGUGGGGUAACGGCUCACCAAGGCGACGAUACAUAGCCGACCUGAGAGGGUGAUCGGCCACACUGGGACUGAGACACGGCCCAGACUCCUACGGGAGGCAGCAGUAGGGAAUCUUCGGCAAUGGACGGAAGUCUGACCGAGCAACGCCGCGUGAGUGAAGAAGGUUUUCGGAUCGUAAAGCUCUGUUGUAAGAGAAGAACGAGUGUGAGAGUGGAAAGUUCACACUGUGACGGUAUCUUACCAGAAAGGGACGGCUAACUACGUG